AUACGGAGGUUGCAAGCGUUAAUCGGAAUUACUGGGCGUAAAGCGCGCGUAGGCGGUUAUUUAAGUCAGAUGUGAAAUCCCUGGGCUCAACCUAGGAACUGCAUCUGAUACUGGGUAACUAGAGUUUUGGAGAGGUAAGUGGAAUUUCCGGUGUAGCGGUGAAAUGCAUAGAGAUCGGAAGGAACACCAGUGGCGAAGGCGACUUACUGGCCAAAAACUGACGCUGAGGUGCGAAAGCGUGGGUAGCAAACAGGAUUAGAUACCCUAGUAGUCC
This 274-nucleotide ribosomal RNA is filed under the name uncultured bacterium. Its description in RNAcentral is "partial 16S ribosomal RNA". It matches the Rfam family "Bacterial small subunit ribosomal RNA", at positions 523 to 796 of the family's 1533-position model. The record is from RNAcentral.